CGGGGUGAGUAAUGUCUGGGAAACUGCCUGAUGGAGGGGGAUAACUACUGGAAACGGUAGCUAAUACCGCAUAACGUCGCAAGACCAAAGAGGGGGACCUUCGGGCCUCAUGCCAUAAGAUGUGCCCAGAUGGGAUUAGCUAGUAGGUGGGGUAACGGCUCACCUAGGCGACGAUCCCUAGCUGGUCUGAGAGGAUGACCAGCCACACUGGAACUGAGACACGGUCCAG
Molecule: ribosomal RNA, 229 nt
Filed under: uncultured bacterium
Lineage: Bacteria
Description: partial 16S ribosomal RNA
Rfam family: Bacterial small subunit ribosomal RNA
Source: RNAcentral